UAUGCCCUUGAGCAGAGAUGAACAAGAUGUA
Molecule: non-coding RNA, 31 nt
Filed under: Rattus norvegicus (Norway rat)
Lineage: Eukaryota; Metazoa; Chordata; Mammalia; Rodentia; Muridae
Source: RNAcentral